CCUACGGGAGGCAGCAGUGAGGAAUAUUGGUCAAUGGACGGAAGUCUGAACCAGCCAUGCCGCGUGCAGGAAGACGGCUCUAUGAGUUGUAAACUGCUUUUGUACAAGGGUAAACCUGAAUACGUGUAUUCAGCUGAAAGUCCUGUACGAAUAAGGAUCGGCUAACUCCGUGCCAGCAGCCGCGGUAAUAAGGAGGAUCCAAGCGUUAUCCGGAUUUUUUGGGUUUAACGGGAGCGUAGGCGGAUUGAUAAGGUAGGGGUGAAAUGUCCGAGCUUAACUCGGGAACUGCUUGUAAAACUGUUGUUCUAGAGAGUAGAUGCGGUAGGCGGAAUGUAUGGUGUAGCGGUGAAAUGCUUAGAGAU
This 362-nucleotide ribosomal RNA is filed under the name uncultured bacterium. RNAcentral's name for it is "partial 16S ribosomal RNA". It matches the Rfam family "Bacterial small subunit ribosomal RNA", at positions 338 to 697 of the family's 1533-position model. The record is from RNAcentral.